GUCAGUUCUCUGUGAUUUGCCUGAGAGAAAAAAAUGGUAUCUGUUCUUACCAGUUAAAUAUCUGACAUGUCCUCUAGCAAAGGACAAUCUAUUAAAGCAAUGUUUUGGAAAUACAAGGUGUAGUAGGCACUUGCUCUGUCUAUACCAUGGAUUGACCUGGUAUUGCAGCACCUCCAAGAACAAUGCACCCUCC
Small nuclear RNA from Rattus norvegicus (Norway rat), 193 nucleotides. Ensembl annotates it as U2 spliceosomal RNA. The record is from Ensembl. NCBI's taxonomy places the organism in Eukaryota, Metazoa, Chordata, Mammalia, Rodentia, Muridae.